This 194-nucleotide signal recognition particle RNA is filed under the name Homo sapiens (human). RNAcentral describes it as "Metazoan signal recognition particle RNA". It matches the Rfam family "Metazoan signal recognition particle RNA". From Rfam's summary of the family: The signal recognition particle (SRP) is a universally conserved ribonucleoprotein. It is involved in the co-translational targeting of proteins to membranes. Lineage: Eukaryota; Metazoa; Chordata; Mammalia; Primates; Hominidae. The record is from Rfam by way of RNAcentral.
GCCAGGCGUGGUGGCGCGCGCCUGUGGUCCCAGCUACUCAGGAGGCUGAGGCAGGAGAAUCGCUUGAACCCGGGAGGCGGAGGUUGCAGUGAGUUGAGAUCGCGCUACUGUACUCCAGCCUGGGUGACAAAGUGGCACGAUCUCAGCUCACUGCAACCUCCGCCUCCUGGGUUCGCGCCAUUCUCCUGCCUCAG